This 1560-nucleotide long non-coding RNA is filed under the name Piliocolobus tephrosceles (Ugandan red Colobus). Its description in RNAcentral is "lncRNA (ENSPTEG00000019396.1)". Lineage: Eukaryota; Metazoa; Chordata; Mammalia; Primates; Cercopithecidae. The record is from RNAcentral.
AGACCAAACUAACGAACAAAAAAAAGAUCCAAAAGAACUUGUUCAUACCACAAAUAAAGAAGAUGAAAUCAACGAAUGUUAUAAAAAACAAAUUGAAAAAGAAGAUAGUAAUAUAGAAUGUGAUAUAAUAAAUAAAGAGUUAACGAAAUCUGAAAAAAUAAUAGUUGAUAAUGUUAGUGAUAAUAACAAUAUUAAUAAUAAUAGUGGUAAUAACGAUAAGUCUAAAAAUGAAAAAAAAAUACGAGCAUAGAAGUACAAGUAGGUACUGUGACUGUUCAAGAUAAUGAAAAUAUGACCAUAAAAAAUUCUGAAUUCCAAGAAAAUUUAAAUCAUAAAACAAAUGAACAAAAUAUAAUUACCGUUCAUAAUUAUACUCCUAAUAAUUCUGAGGGAAAGACAAUAUUUAAUGAUAAAUUUGAUGAUGAAAAAUUUGACGAUGAUAAAUUUGAUGAUGAAAAAUUUGACGAUGAUAAAAUUAAUGAUGAAAAUUUUGACGAUGAUAAAAUUAAUGAUGAAAAUUUUGACGAUGAUAAAUUUAAUGAUGAAAAUUUUGACGAUGAUAAAUUUGAUGAUGAAAAAUUUGACGAUGAUAAAUUUAAUGAUGAAAAAAUUGACGAUGAUAAAUUUAAUGAUGAAAAAUUUGAUGAUAACAUUUUUUUUGAUAAUAACUUUUCUGAUUUUGAGAAAUCUGAUGACGAUGUAAAUAAAAAAAAAAUAAGUUAAUAUAUAUAUACAAUGACAUGAAGAGUUAUGAAGAAGAGUUUUUAAAUAUUUUUGAACAUUUUUAUGAAAACGUAGAAGAAUAUAAUUUUAUUAAAAAAGAAGAGAAAUACCAUAUAAAGGAUAUCGAUUUUAAUUCUAUCGAGUCCAUAUCUAACUUUAUAAAUAACAAUAAUAACAAUAAUAACAAUAAUAAUGAUAAAAAUGAUAAAAAUAAUAAUGAUAAUAAUAGUAAUAUACAUAGUGCUGAUAACAUUCCUAUAGAAUUAUACUUAACUGAAAAUAUAAAUUCUUUUUUACAAGAACAUCAUGAAUCUUUUAAAAAAAUAAAAUUGAAUAAAAAUUAUUUUAAUAUUGAAAAUUAUGAGAACAAUAUCCCACCAACUCCUAAUCAACAAAUUUUCAAAGAAUAUCAAAAAAAGUGUAUAGAAGCAAAUAAUUGUGUCAAAAGGAAAGGAAAAAAAAAAGUAUGUAUAAGUAUGUAUAUCGAUAUAAAUGAUGAGGAUGAAAAAAAACAUACCGCAAAAAUCAUAUUUUAAUAUAUCAAAAUAUGUUAGUAUGACUUAAAUGCUCUUUUUUUUUUUUUUUUUUUUUUUUUUUUUUUUUUUUUUUUAAUUUUUUUAUUUGUAUUAAAACAGAGUAUAACUAUUAGACAGUUAUAUAUAUAUAUAUAUAACAAAGUAGAACCGAUAGUUUUUCUUUCUUAAUCGAAAAUUAUAUAAAAAUAAUGUAAAAAUAAGAUAAAAAUACAAUGUUGAAAAUUUUGUUUAUUGCAAAAUUUUUAUUAAUAUAUAAGAAUGCAACAAUAAAAAGUUUAUCAUUUUCUAUUUAUAUUUAACU